CGGUUUUCUUUGUACGCUUGGACAUAAUGUAAAUCAUUUUAUGUCGUUGGGUUUGUUUAAAUUUGCAGAUAUCCGGGUAUAUUAUAAUAUAUUGUGCGGAUAAAAAACGUGGACGGAUAAAAAGGCCGGGUGUCCGUAUCCGCGGGGGCCUCGUGCCGCCUACAAAAAAAAGGCUUUGGGGUACUAUUAUCGGGCCUGCGUCCGAAAUGCAAUACACUCCGAAUUUAAGAACCCGCGUAACGG
Non-coding RNA from Cinara cedri, 243 nucleotides. NCBI's taxonomy places the organism in Eukaryota, Metazoa, Arthropoda, Insecta, Hemiptera, Aphididae. The record is from the annotation of a GenBank genome assembly.